UGCUAAUCUGCGAUAAGCGUCGGUAAGGUGAUAUGAACCGUUAUAACCGGCGAUUUCCGAAUGGGGAAACCCAGUGUGUUUCGACACACUAUCAUUAACUGAAUCCAUAGGUUAAUGAGGCGAACCGGGGGAACUGAAACAUCUAAGUACCCCGAGGAAAAGAAAUCAACCGAGAUUCCCCCAGUAGCGGCGAGCGAACGGGGAGCAGCCCAGAGCCUGAAUCAGUGUGUGUGUUAGUGGAAGCGUCUGGAAAGGCGUGCGAUACAGGGUGACAGCCCCGUACACAAAAAUGCACAUGCUGUGAGCUCGAUGAGUAGGGCGGGACACGUGGUAUCCUGUCUGAAUAUGGGGGGACCAUCCUCCAAGGCUAAAUACUCCUGACUGACCGAUAGUGAACCAGUACCGUGAGGGAAAGGCGAAAAGAACCCCGGCGAGGGGAGUGAAAAAGAACCUGAAACCGUGUACGUACAAGCAGUGGGAGCACGCUUAGGCGUGUGACUGCGUACCUUUUGUAUAAUGGGUCAGCGACUUAUAUUCUGUAGCAAGGUUAACCGAAUAGGGGAGCCGAAGGGAAACCGAGUCUUAACUGGGCGUUAAGUUGCAGGGUAUAGACCCGAAACCCGGUGAUCUAGCCAUGGGCAGGUUGAAGGUUGGGUAACACUAACUGGAGGACCGAACCGACUAAUGUUGAAAAAUUAGCGGAUGACUUGUGGCUGGGGGUGAAAGGCCAAUCAAACCGGGAGAUAGCUGGUUCUCCCCGAAAGCUAUUUAGGUAGCGCCUCGUGAAUUCAUCUCCGGGGGUAGAGCACUGUUUCGGCAAGGGGGUCAUCCCGACUUACCAACCCGAUGCAAACUGCGAAUACCGGAGAAUGUUAUCACGGGAGACACACGGCGGGUGCUAACGUCCGUCGUGAAGAGGGAAACAACCCAGACCGCCAGCUAAGGUCCCAAAGUCAUGGUUAAGUGGGAAACGAUGUGGGAAGGCCCAGACAGCCAGGAUGUUGGCUUAGAAGCAGCCAUCAUUUAAAGAAAGCGUAAUAGCUCACUGGUCGAGUCGGCCUGCGCGGAAGAUGUAACGGGGCUAAACCAUGCACCGAAGCUGCGGCAGCGACGCUUAUGCGUUGUUGGGUAGGGGAGCGUUCUGUAAGCCUGCGAAGGUGUGCUGUGAGGCAUGCUGGAGGUAUCAGAAGUGCGAAUGCUGACAUAAGUAACGAUAAAGCGGGUGAAAAGCCCGCUCGCCGGAAGACCAAGGGUUCCUGUCCAACGUUAAUCGGGGCAGGGUGAGUCGACCCCUAAGGCGAGGCCGAAAGGCGUAGUCGAUGGGAAACAGGUUAAUAUUCCUGUACUUGGUGUUACUGCGAAGGGGGGACGGAGAAGGCUAUGUUGGCCGGGCGACGGUUGUCCCGGUUUAAGCGUGUAGGCUGGUUUUCCAGGCAAAUCCGGAAAAUCAAGGCUGAGGCGUGAUGACGAGGCACUACGGUGCUGAAGCAACAAAUGCCCUGCUUCCAGGAAAAGCCUCUAAGCAUCAGGUAACAUCAAAUCGUACCCCAAACCGACACAGGUGGUCAGGUAGAGAAUACCAAGGCGCUUGAGAGAACUCGGGUGAAGGAACUAGGCAAAAUGGUGCCGUAACUUCGGGAGAAGGCACGCUGAUAUGUAGGUGAAGUCCCUCGCGGAUGGAGCUGAAAUCAGUCGAAGAUACCAGCUGGCUGCAACUGUUUAUUAAAAACACAGCACUGUGCAAACACGAAAGUGGACGUAUACGGUGUGACGCCUGCCCGGUGCCGGAAGGUUAAUUGAUGGGGUCAGCGCAAGCGAAGCUCUUGAUCGAAGCCCCGGUAAACGGCGGCCGUAACUAUAACGGUCCUAAGGUAGCGAAAUUCCUUGUCGGGUAAGUUCCGACCUGCACGAAUGGCGUAAUGAUGGCCAGGCUGUCUCCACCCGAGACUCAGUGAAAUUGAACUCGCUGUGAAGAUGCAGUGUACCCGCGGCAAGACGGAAAGACCCCGUGAACCUUUACUAUAGCUUGACACUGAACAUUGAGCCUUGAUGUGUAGGAUAGGUGGGAGGCUUUGAAGUGUGGACGCCAGUCUGCAUGGAGCCGACCUUGAAAUACCACCCUUUAAUGUUUGAUGUUCUAACGUUGACCCGUAAUCCGGGUUGCGGACAGUGUCUGGUGGGUAGUUUGACUGGGGCGGUCUCCUCCUAAAGAGUAACGGAGGAGCACGAAGGUUGGCUAAUCCUGGUCGGACAUCAGGAGGUUAGUGCAAUGGCAUAAGCCAGCUUGACUGCGAGCGUGACGGCGCGAGCAGGUGCGAAAGCAGGUCAUAGUGAUCCGGUGGUUCUGAAUGGAAGGGCCAUCGCUCAACGGAUAAAAGGUACUCCGGGGAUAACAGGCUGAUACCGCCCAAGAGUUCAUAUCGACGGCGGUGUUUGGCACCUCGAUGUCGGCUCAUCACAUCCUGGGGCUGAAGUAGGUCCCAAGGGUAUGGCUGUUCGCCAUUUAAAGUGGUACGCGAGCUGGGUUUAGAACGUCGUGAGACAGUUCGGUCCCUAUCUGCCGUGGGCGCUGGAGAACUGAGGGGGGCUGCUCCUAGUACGAGAGGACCGGAGUGGACGCAUCACUGGUGUUCGGGUUGUCAUGCCAAUGGCACUGCCCGGUAGCUAAAUGCGGAAGAGAUAAGUGCUGAAAGCAUCUAAGCACGAAACUUGCCCCGAGAUGAGUUCUCCCUGACUCCUUGAGAG
RNAcentral lists this ribosomal RNA (2745 nucleotides) under Escherichia coli. RNAcentral's name for it is "partial 23S ribosomal RNA". It matches the Rfam family "Bacterial large subunit ribosomal RNA". The record is from RNAcentral. Lineage: Bacteria; Pseudomonadati; Pseudomonadota; Gammaproteobacteria; Enterobacterales; Enterobacteriaceae.